GACGAACGCUGGCGGCGUGCUUAACACAUGCAAGUCGAGCGGUAAGGCCCUUUCGGGGGUACACGAGCGGCGAACGGGUGAGUAACACGUGGGUGACCUGCCCUCAGCUCUGGGAUAAGCCUGGGAAACCGGGCCUAAUACUGGAUAUGACUCCAUGACGCAUGUUGUGGGGUGGAAAGCCUUGUGCGGCUGAGGAUGGGCCCGCGGCCUAUCAGCUUGUUGGUGGGGUGAGGCCUACCAAGGCGACGACGGGUAGCCGGCCUGAGAGGGCGACCGGCCACACUGGGACUGAGACACGGCCCAGACUCCUACGGGAGGCAGCAGUGGGGAAUCUUGCGCAAUGGGCGAAAGCCUGACGCAGCGACGCCGCGUGAGGGAUGACGGCCU
This 387-nucleotide ribosomal RNA is filed under the name uncultured bacterium. RNAcentral's name for it is "bacterial SSU rRNA". It matches the Rfam family "Bacterial small subunit ribosomal RNA", at positions 28 to 417 of the family's 1533-position model. The record is from RNAcentral.